AGCGAACGCUGGCGGCAGGCUUAACACAUGCAAGUCGAGCGGGCACUUCGGUGUCAGCGGCAGACGGGUGAGUAACACGUGGGAACGUACCCUUCGGUUCGGAAUAACGCUGGGAAACUAGCGCUAAUACCGGAUACGCCCUUUUGGGGAAAGGUUUACUGCCGAAGGAUCGGCCCGCGUCUGAUUAGCUAGUUGGUGGGGUAAUGGCCUACCAAGGCGACGAUCAGUAGCUGGUCUGAGAGGAUGAUCAGCCACACUGGGACUGAGACACGGCCCAGACUCCUACGGGAGGCAGCAGUGGGGAAUAUUGGACAAUGGGCGCAAGCCUGAUCCAGCCAUGCCACGUGAGUGAUGAAGGCCUUAGGGUUGUAAAGCUCUUUUGUCCGGGACGAUAAUGACGGUACCGGAAGAAUAAGCCCCGGCUAACUUCGUG
This 433-nucleotide ribosomal RNA is filed under the name uncultured bacterium. RNAcentral describes it as "partial 16S ribosomal RNA". It matches the Rfam family "Bacterial small subunit ribosomal RNA", at positions 29 to 507 of the family's 1533-position model. The record is from RNAcentral.